CCGAUAAUGCAUGAUAAUAUUAUAAUAAAAGUUAGAACAAUAUUAUAUUAUAAGUUUUGCAUUAAGGAUAUUAUAAUAUAGUAUAUUUAAACAAUCAGUAAAAUUUACUUAUGAUAAUAAUAAUAAUAUAAUGUAUAAUUAUGAUGCAAAUAUAAUUGUAAUAAUAUCCGUAAAAUAAUGUAAUCGUCGCGUAUCUAACACCGACAAAAUGCCCUCGUCGCCAUUUGCUUAGGUGUAGGAAUCUAGCUUAUUGAUUUCAACAGAAUAAAUUAAAAAAUAAAAAAUAAAUAAUAUCAGUGCUUGAAUAUUGAAAAGAAAAUUCAACGGGGGAUGUACAAGUGCAAAAAAAAAUUGUAUUUUGUACGACGUAUACCCGAAUAAUUAAACGCCUUUAUGUUCGUAUAUUAUAUGAAUAAUGAAAAAUAAAUACGUAGAUGUGCAGUAAAAUAUAUGUAAAAAGAAGAGAUAGAUACUCCAUCCUCCCCCUCUAAAAUUCUGUACUGUAUUGCGGACUACUAGUAUUGAAUGAUAAAAAUUAUACACAGAGUUGGGCAGUAUUUUCGACACGGGUAUCUCAGAUACAAUAUUUUAUCUUGUAUCGCGAAACAGUUCUGGAAGGUAUCGAACAUAUUAUAUUGUGAUAUUGAAAUCGAUGUAUCGAGUAUUCAAUAUUUAAAUACAUAACAUGUAAAUAUCGAAUAUCUUGUAGUGCAAUAUUUGUUACAUAGGUAUAUAAUAUGUGGUAUCUAAAUACUGAAAAUCAAUUUUAUGUAUCUAAUAUCGAGUAUCUAGAUAAUCAUUUUGAAAUAAAGCUAGUUUGCCCAUCCUUGCUUAUAUAUAUAUAUAGUGUUUGUGCAGAUAUUGGCUAAUCAUUUUCAAGUGAAAUAAAAUAUUAUAUUGGUAUUUAUCGAGGACACAAUGUACUUGUAUAAACAAACCAUUUACGACCGAGGGAGGAUUCCUUAUUUUGCGGUAAAAGUCACCGGCAGGUCUGUCCCCCGGACACUUGAAAAUAAAACAGUUCAAGUGCAACAAAUACGAGGAAAGUUCACUUUUUUUUUUUUGGAAAAUGUCUAAUAGUUAAGAACACAACAUUGAAUGCUUUAACCUGUAGGUGAGUUCGGUGCAGAAAUAAUACUUCAAGUAAGUCUGCACGUCUAUUAUAAAUAUGGAGAAUAUAUUGCUAUGGACUUGUUUGAUCCAAAAAAUUCUUUUUUUUGCAAAGAGCAAAAGGAAGACGAGUCCACAGAUUUAAAAUUGAAAUAAACAUCGGUCAUACAGUAGGUGCUUGUACUUAUACGUGUGUUUAAUUAUAAUAUAAUUAUUAUGCUUAUUUGAUAAUGAACUUUUCAUUCGAUUAUCACCUAAAAUCCAACCUUUAAACCCAACACUAUACAAAACGAUCAUGUCUUGUUGCACCGAGCUCUUUGAUUGUAUUUUAUUUUCGCGACAAGGCGACGAAGAUUAUUCAAGGUGGUGGGUGUUCGAUUUGACAGUUUAUUAAAUUGAAAAUGUGUAGAACGUGUUUAUAUUUAUUGUUAUUAUGCGUAAAAUAAUAUUAAUAAUUAAUAAACGAGUACAACUAUGGCGUUUACCGACUAAAUUAAAAUAUGAUUAUAAUAAUAUAAAAUGUAAUAUAAAUAAAUAGAAACAAAUCGAUAAUAUCACAAUAGGUACUUAUAAGGUAAGAAUCGUUUAAAUAUCAUAUUUUAAAUUGUUUUAAUUGACAGAUAAAUAUUAUAGUGGUCAAAAUGAUGAUGAUAUUAUAUUAUAUUAAACAAGGUCUUCUAAAUUAUAUACAAUUUGGAAGACCCUGUAUAAUAUGUUUACAUAUUUUAUUUAUAAUAUAUAAUUAUUAUAUUAUAUUGUUGUGUUAUAUUAUAGUCGAAUGAUGAAGCUUUUAAAUGUUUACAAGACUCACUUAACACGUUUUAAGAGUAUAAUAAUAAGAUAAAAUUAUAAUAUUAUAAUAUUAUGUCUACGUAUAGAAAGUACAAGUAUAUAAGAUAAGCAUUAUAAAAAAUAAGUAUUUUUUUUUUCGUUUUCAACAUUAAUAUCUUCUCUAUAUUUAUAUAUAAAUUCAUGCCAGCCGUAAGUAUAGAGCUAUUAUUAUAAUGUUAUAAGAAACAAUGCGUAAUAUAUUUGUUAGAAUACGGAAAUUUAUAUUUAUACAUAAAUUACAGUACGUUCGUGUGAAGUUUUUCUUCGAUAAUUCUCCGGCCCUCUCGGUGUUUUCCUCCCGCAAAAAACUUCGUAGGAUAAGCCAAACGGAUAAUUUGGAUUCCGGGAAGAGAGAGGGGGUGGGGUUACCCGUCACAGAGAUUCUCGGACACAUUAUUUAAACUUCUAACGCACGAAUAUAAAAUAUAAGAGAAAAAAAUAGCAUACUUACAAAUUAUUAUUAUUACAUUAUAGAUGUGUAUAAUAUAAUACGCCCUGUGUUAGAUAAACGUAAAUUUACAUAAAGUUUUAUCGAAAUAGGAUAGUUAAAUUUUUUUUUUAGAAUAUAAUGUUUUAAGUAUACAUAGUAAAAAAAGAAACAUAACAUUAAAAAAAUCUAUUAUUAUCAAUUAUUAAUAUAUUUUAUAUUAUUAUAAUAGAUAUAGUGUACUUUGGCGAUCGUCCGUGUUCCUAUUUUAACGGUUUAGCGAACCGUUCACAGCUGUUGUGUGCCCGUUACGGCCGUAAAAUACUAAAAAGAAAAAAAAAACAGUGAAAACUAAAAGUACAGAUUUUUAAUCUAUACGUACAAUAUUAACGAAAACUUUAAAUUAUUACAGCUUACAUAAUAUAAAAUAAAAAAUAAUAAUACAAUUAACGAACAAUAAAUAUUUACAGUAUGUUAUAAUAACAUAAUUUUAUGUAUAGUAGGUAUAUACCUAUAAUUAUAUUAUAGUUCCCGUAUCCGUGUUACACGACCAUCAUAAUAUUAUGCAGCUAGUGUUAUUAUGGAAUGUUAAUUUUCGUACACGGUGUUUCUUAUUGGUCCUGGGGAUAAUAACGGUAAUAACGGAUGUUGGUGAAAUAUUAUUAUCGUUCCAGAAUCAAAUAAUUAGCACAAUAGGCGACUGUAUCUACACUCACACAGCGAGUAUAUACUUCUAAAUGUGAAUGAACAAAAAUAUAUAGAUGGAUAAUUUUUUUACGAAUUUCUACGUCCAUAUAAAAUUGUGGAGGCAGGUAUUAUGUAUAGGUAUACAUAUCUAUGAUUUUAUUUGUAUUCAGUUUUCGAGCAUUUCAAAAGAAUAAGUUCACUACACUGUAAGUAGGUGAUGUAUAAAAUAUUAUUGUACCUAUCGAAGAGGUCUUACUCUCCCCGCUACUUUCGUUUCAAAAUUACUACAGGAAUUCAUUUCUUUUUUCAAUUCACAAUUCACUCCUAUUGCAAAUAAUUGAUAGCCAGAAUUUCCCUCAUAUAUAAUAGUUUAUUCCUAUACGUCUUCGGUACCUACAUUAUAAUAUUAGGUGUUUUAAAUAAUCUUCAUAUUAUUCAUAAUAAUCAGCAGCCAAAAGCGCCGUUAUCUAACGAUUUCACGUCCGCACUGCACGUAAUAUUAAAAACGUUCGCACGUCGGUGCACACGUGCCGGUGAAACUGAAGAGGAAAAGAAAAACAAAAUAUUCAUCGAUAUAUUAUUAUUAUACACUUAUGUGACCUAUACGUGAGUUUAUGUUGAGAUCGAGCGAAAACAACGGAGGAAAAAAACGAGGGGAAAUGUAUUUGUGCGCGUACCAAAAUGAAAGAGAGCUAGAGAGAGGGAAAACUAGAGAGUAAUGACAUUUUGUGAAAAGACGCAGACAGAUAGACGCGACGAAUGGACGACCGCAACUAUAUUGCAUGACUAUACUUUACGAUGGCGGCGACCAAUAAGUGUCUUUGGCACUAGAUCAAAACCGGAGAAAAUAAAAAUUAGGGGGGGGGGGAGGGUAAGGAAUCUCCGUAGAAAAUUCAACCCUAAACAUCGAUGUUCCGAACAAAUAC
Non-coding RNA from Cinara cedri, 3981 nucleotides. The record is from the annotation of a GenBank genome assembly. Lineage: Eukaryota; Metazoa; Arthropoda; Insecta; Hemiptera; Aphididae.